Molecule: long non-coding RNA, 1122 nt
Organism: Acinonyx jubatus (cheetah)
Lineage: Eukaryota; Metazoa; Chordata; Mammalia; Carnivora; Felidae
Exons: 3
Source: RefSeq, a predicted model, not a curated record
CUAUUAAUUACAGAUUGAUAAUUUAUAUUAGAACUUUAUAUGAGUUUCACCUUGAUCUUCCUUUAGGUUUCAUUUUUAAAAGCUAAAACUGAAUUACUAACACACAAUACAGCUGAUGGUAUUAUUAAUUAUUCUCAUAAUUAGAAGUAUAUAAAAUUAGCCUUUAGCAACAAUACAAAAUUUGGAUCAUUAUUCUCACUUAUAAAUAACAUAGCAUGUUUUAUAAGGAGGAUUUUAUAGAUUUAAUAAUUGACUUUUUAAAAGUUUUAUUUAUUUUUGUAAUUUCUACAUCCCACAUGAGGCUGGAACUCACAACCCCACCAUCAAGAUUCUCAGGCUCUUCUGACUGAGCCAGCCAGGCGUGCCCCCCCAAUAACUGACUUAUUUUAAGAGAGUCUAUAGCGCAACAUUGAGACAAAUGGGUCCAUGUUAUUCCUGAAUUAUGUAAUUUCCAUACAAAGUAUCACUUUUAUGUGUUUUAAGAUGUAAUCAAUUCAUUUAAAAAUGUAUUUAAUUCACAGCACAGUGUAUAUAAAAUUAUAGCUGCUGAUGAGCACUUACAUAAAAGUCAUGGCAGUCAUUACUCUAGUUGACAUUUAAUUAGCACCUUAUUUUGACAAAUCCUUUAACGAAUUGUUGCCACAUAAGAGGGCAUAUAUUUCAGAAAACAAAAUCGCUCCCUGGAGAGGCUGCUAAUUACGAAGAGCAUAUAUUAAACGCACUUCCUAUGUGAGGCGCUGAUUUGCAUACGCACCUAUACAGUCGUUGUUGUGGGAGAGGAUGAAACCGUGGUUGCAGCGGCAGUUGAAGGAACCGAUCGUGUUGCGGCAAGUUCCAUUCCCACAGGCGUCUCGCUCACACUCAUUUAUGUCUAGUAGGAACAAAGGCCGUAGAGAAACGUGGUCGUUAACAGAAGAGAUAAGUUAUCGGUGAUCCUAAACCAGAAAGCUAUUGCUGACCCCAAAGUGAUCCAGUAUGUGUGUGUCUGUGGUUGAAGACUGCAUCCACGAUCUACAAAUUUGCCUCUGAGUAUAUGGUACAAACCAUGGAUCCUUCUCAAAAAAUACUCAUAUUCAAACACUCAAAAGCUGCACUCUAUUCCAAUAAGGCAAACCCAUAGAC